GAGCAACGCCGCGUGAGUGAAGAAGGCCUUCGGAUCGUAAAGCUCUGUUGUUAGGGACGAACGAUGAGAGAGUGGAAAGUUCUCAUAAGUGACGGUAUCUUAGGAGAAAGGGACGGCUAACUACGUGCCAGCAGCCGCGGUAAUACGUAGGUCCCGAGCGUUGUCCGGAUUUAUUGGGCGUAAAGCGAGCGCAGGUGGUUUCUUAAGUCUGAUGUAAAAGGCAGUGGCUUAACCAUUGUACGCCAUUGGAAACUGGGAGACUUGAGUGCAGGAGAGGGGAGUGGAAUUCCAAGUGUAGCGGUGAAAUGCGUAGAUAUAUGGAGGAACACCGGUGGCGAAGGCGGCUCACUGGGCUGUAACUGACACUGAGGCGCGAAAGCGUGGGGAGCAAACAGGAUUAGAUACCCUGGUAGUCCACGCCGUAAACGAUGAGUACUAG
RNAcentral lists this ribosomal RNA (439 nucleotides) under uncultured Bacillota bacterium. RNAcentral's name for it is "bacterial SSU rRNA". It matches the Rfam family "Bacterial small subunit ribosomal RNA", at positions 389 to 819 of the family's 1533-position model. Lineage: Bacteria; Bacillati; Bacillota. The record is from RNAcentral.